AUUCACAUUAUUUUCAUUGUUUAUAGAUGAUAUUACUCGGAAAUGAUAUUUUUUGUAAAUCUUUGGUUCUACAUUAUGCUCUUGGUUCUUCAUCAAAGACAACGCAUUUAGUUCGAAAAUUGGUGCUUGGCGUAUUUAAAGAAGAGAUUUUUAAGAAAGGACCUCAUCAAGUCACUCUUACUGGUUAUUCACCUCGUAAUAUAGGAAAGCAAACUGAAAUAAAAUAUGAUAAUAUCGAUAUUAUUGCUAGAUUUACAAUCAUAAAAUAUGCUAAAGCAAUAGGAAAACUUAAAAAGUGGCCAUAUGUUCGUACCAAAGAUCUUGAGAGAACGUUAUCCCAAAGGAUU
This is a non-coding RNA of Linepithema humile (Argentine ant), 347 nucleotides long. The record is from RefSeq and is a predicted model, not a curated record. Lineage: Eukaryota; Metazoa; Arthropoda; Insecta; Hymenoptera; Formicidae.